Long non-coding RNA from Salmo salar (Atlantic salmon), 391 nucleotides. RefSeq lists it as uncharacterized. Lineage: Eukaryota; Metazoa; Chordata; Actinopteri; Salmoniformes; Salmonidae. The record is from RefSeq and is a predicted model, not a curated record.
GUGCUGAUAUUCAGCACUCCCUCUCGUGUGAUAUUGCUUAACGGACGUAAGUUCAUCACAUUAUCUAGCUACAUAAGGGAGGCAGGCCUAUAUAACUAAAAAGUCAAAAACGGUCCAAAUCUUUGAGUCAUCUAACAACACCAUGAAUGAAGAUGGAAUGGAUGACAGAUAUCCAGGCAUGGAUCAUAUAGCAAUCGCAGUAUUAAAAGCUGGUAAAAUAAGCAGACAUGCUGCAGGAUUUACGUGAUCUCUUUCUCGGGCCAGAGCACUUCUUCAGAAGGAGAACCAUUUGGAGAUUUACUCAUGGUGAAAAUGAGGGUCAAGAAUCAGACAUGUGUAGACCAGGCACCUCCUCUGGGACCUGUGAUUUCAGCCUCCCCCCCCCCCCCCC